CAGAAACUUAAAGGAAUUGACGGGGCCCGCACAAGCGGUGGAGCAUGUGGUUUAAUCGAUGAUACGCGAGGACCUUACCUGGGCUCAAAUGUAUGUUGACGUAUUCUGAAAGGGAUACUUCUUCGGACAAUAUACAAGGUGCUGCAUGGUUGUCGUCAGCUCGUGCCGUGAGGUGUCGGGUUAAGUCCCAUAACGAGCGCAACCCCUAUCAUUAGUUGCCAUCAGGUCAAGCUGGGGACUCUAAUGAAACUGCCUACGCAAGUAGUGAGGAAGGUGGGGAUGACGUCAAAUCAGCACGGCCCUUACGUCCAGGGCUACACACGUGCUACAAUGGCCGGUACAAAGGGCAGCUACCUGGUGACAGGAUGCUAAUCUCAAAAGCCGGUCUCAGUUCGGAUCGGAGUCUGCAACCCGACUCCGUGAAGCUGGAAUCGCUAGUAAUCGCGCAUCAGCCAUGGCGCGGUGAAUACGUUCCCGGGCCUU
RNAcentral lists this ribosomal RNA (483 nucleotides) under uncultured Sphingobacteriales bacterium. Its description in RNAcentral is "bacterial SSU rRNA". It matches the Rfam family "Bacterial small subunit ribosomal RNA", at positions 894 to 1382 of the family's 1533-position model. Lineage: Bacteria; Pseudomonadati; Bacteroidota; Sphingobacteriia; Sphingobacteriales. The record is from RNAcentral.